This 465-nucleotide ribosomal RNA is filed under the name uncultured bacterium. Its description in RNAcentral is "partial 16S ribosomal RNA". It matches the Rfam family "Bacterial small subunit ribosomal RNA", at positions 28 to 507 of the family's 1533-position model. The record is from RNAcentral.
GACGAACGCUGGCGGCGUGCUUAACACAUGCAAGUCGAACGGAAAGGCCCCUUUUGGGGUACUCGCGUGGCGAACGGGUGAGUAACACGUAAGUAACCUGCCCUUGCCUUCCGGAUAACUUCAGGAAACUGGGGCUAAUACCGGCUAGGAAUCCUUGCUGCAUGGUGGGGGUUGGAAAGCUUCGGCGGUUUUGGAUGGACUCGCGGGUUAUCCGCUUUUUGGUGGGGUAGUGGCUUACCAAGGCUUUGACGGGUAGCCGGCCUGGGAGGGCGACCGGCCACAAUGGGACUGAGAUAAGGCCCAGACUCCUAAGGGGGGGAAGAGUGGGGAAUAUUGCACAAUGGGCGGAAGCCUGAUGCAGCAACGCCGCGGGCGGGAUGACGGCCUUCGGGUUGGAAACCGCAUUCAGCAGGGGCGAAGCUUGUGGUGACGGUACCUGCAGAAGAAGCACCGGCUAACUACGUG